GACGGUACCUAACCAGAAAGCCACGGCUAACUACGUGCCAGCAGCCGCGGUAAUACGUAGGUGGCAAGCGUUGUCCGGAAUUAUUGGGCGUAAAGCGCGCGCAGGCGGUUUCUUAAGUCUGAUGUGAAAGCCCCCGGCUCAACCGGGGAGGGUCAUUGGAAACUGGGGAACUUGAGUGCAGAAGAGGAGAGUGGAAUUCCACGUGUAGCGGUGAAAUGCGUAGAGAUGUGGAGGAACACCAGUGGCGAAGGCGACUCUCUGGUCUGUAACUGACGCUGAGGCGCGAAAGCGUGGGGAGCGAACAGGAUUAGAUACCCUGGUAGUCCACGCCGUAAACGAUGAGUGCUAAGUGUUAGAGGGUUUCCGCCCUUUAGUGCUGCAGCAAACGCAUUAAGCACUCCGCCUGGGGAGUACGGUCGCAAGACUGAAACUCAAAGGAAUUGACGGGGGCCCGCACAAGCGGUGGAGCAUGUGGUUUAAUUCGAAGCAACGCGAAGAACCUUACCAGGUCUUGACAUCCUCUGACAACCCUAGAGAUAGGGCUUCCCCUUCGGGGGCAGAGUGACAGGUGGUGCAUGGUUGUCGUCAGCUCGUGUCGUGAGAUGUUGGGUUAAGUCCCGCAACGAGCGCAACCCUUGAUCUUAGUUGCCAGCAUUCAGUUGGGCACUCUAAGGUGACUGCCGGUGACAAACCGGAGGAAGGUGGGGAUGACGUCAAAUCAUCAUGCCCCUUAUGACCUGGGCUACACACGUGCUACAAUGGGCAGAACAAAGGGCAGCGAAGCCGCGAGGCUAAGCCAAUCCCACAAAUCUGUUCUCAGUUCGGAUCGCAGUCUGCAACUCGACUGCGUGAAGCUGGAAUCGCUAGUAAUCGCGGAUCA
Molecule: ribosomal RNA, 880 nt
Filed under: Bacillus sp. (in: firmicutes)
Lineage: Bacteria; Bacillati; Bacillota; Bacilli; Caryophanales; Bacillaceae
Description: bacterial SSU rRNA
Rfam family: Bacterial small subunit ribosomal RNA
Source: RNAcentral